This 253-nucleotide ribosomal RNA is filed under the name uncultured bacterium. Its description in RNAcentral is "partial 16S ribosomal RNA". It matches the Rfam family "Bacterial small subunit ribosomal RNA", at positions 524 to 776 of the family's 1533-position model. The record is from RNAcentral.
UACGAGGGGGGCAAGCGUUGUUCGGAAUUAUUGGGCGUAAAGAGCUCGUAGGCGGUCUGUUGCGUCUGCUGUGAAAACCCGGGGCUUAACCCCUGGCUUGCAGUGGAUACGGACAGACUAGAGGUAGGUAGGGGAGAAUGGAAUUCCCGGUGUAGCGGUGAAAUGCGCAGAUAUCAGGAGGAACACCUGCGGUGUAGACGGCUUUCUGGACCAUUGCUGACGCUGAGACACGAAAGCGUGGGUAGCAAACAGG